CAGUCGCCGCGGGAAUACGUAGGUGGCAAGUGUUGUCCGGAAUUAUUUGGCGUAAAGGGCUCGCAGGCGGUUUCUUAAGUCUGAUGUGAAAGCCCCCGGCUCAACCGGGGAGGGUCAUUGGAAACUGGGAAACUCGAGUGCAGAAGAGGAGAGUGGAAUUCCACGUGUAGCGGUGAAAUGCGUAGAGAUGUGGAGGAACACCAGUGGCGAAGGCGACUCUCUGGUCUGUAACUGACGCUGAGGAGCGAAAGCGUGGGGAGCGAACAGGAUUAGAUACCCCCGUAGUCCCUGUCUCUUAUAA
RNAcentral lists this ribosomal RNA (301 nucleotides) under uncultured bacterium. RNAcentral describes it as "partial 16S ribosomal RNA". It matches the Rfam family "Bacterial small subunit ribosomal RNA", at positions 509 to 809 of the family's 1533-position model. The record is from RNAcentral.